Molecule: ribosomal RNA, 253 nt
Filed under: uncultured bacterium
Lineage: Bacteria
Description: partial 16S ribosomal RNA
Rfam family: Bacterial small subunit ribosomal RNA
Source: RNAcentral
UCCGUAGGGACCGAGCGUUGUCCGGAAUCAUUGGGCGUAAAGAGCGUGUAGGCGGCCCCUUAAGUCCUGCGUGAAAUCCUGCGGCUCAACCGCAGACGGUCGUGGGAAACUGGAGGGCUAGAGUGCGGGAGAGGAGAGUGGAAUUCCUGGUGUAGCGGUGAAAUGCGCAGAUAUCAGGAAGAACACGCGUGGCGAAAGCGGCUCUCUGGGACGGUACUGACGCUGAGGUGCGAAAGCGUGGGGAGCAAACAGG